Liolophura sinensis is the source of this 321-nucleotide long non-coding RNA. RefSeq lists it as uncharacterized. NCBI's taxonomy places the organism in Eukaryota, Metazoa, Mollusca, Polyplacophora, Chitonida, Chitonidae. The record is from RefSeq and is a predicted model, not a curated record. The transcript is spliced from 4 exons.
GCAACUUGUGGCUACAGAAUUGUCCACCGCGACGGAUUAUACGUCUGUACCUUGUCAUGAACGCCAGAUUGAAUUGCUCGGUGUUCAUCAACCUUUUGAGGAAACCCACGACGGUGCACAUGGAGUGGCUACAUGGGUACCCGACGAUCAGACAUGCAACGCAGCUUGCCACCCGUUGUGGUACGCCAGCAAUGAUGUCAUUGCACUGGCGAACAACAAGGAAUGAGCCCUUGUGUGUAAUCCAGAAGUCAGUGCUGCACCUAUCUUGCCUCGGGCAAUACUUCUGCUUGGAACUGUUUUCAUAUUGAACCUAUACUUCAC